RNAcentral lists this small RNA (92 nucleotides) under Agrobacterium sp. ATCC 31749. RNAcentral describes it as "Rhizobiales sRNA Atu_Ti1". It matches the Rfam family "Rhizobiales sRNA Atu_Ti1". The record is from Rfam by way of RNAcentral. Lineage: Bacteria; Pseudomonadati; Pseudomonadota; Alphaproteobacteria; Hyphomicrobiales; Rhizobiaceae.
GUCCACGUCGCGGCGGACCAAAGCCAGAAUCCCCCAAGGAUGAUGGCUGCGGCCGGCCAACGCCUCGUUGUCAUGAUGAGCAGGCCGGUCGC